This 326-nucleotide transfer-messenger RNA is filed under the name Bacteroidales bacterium. RNAcentral's name for it is "partial transfer-messenger RNA". It matches the Rfam family "transfer-messenger RNA", at positions 1 to 295 of the family's 374-position model. Rfam says of the family: Bacterial tmRNA, also known as 10Sa RNA or SsrA, is named for its dual tRNA and mRNA-like properties. Its role is to liberate the mRNA from a stalled ribosome. The record is from RNAcentral. Lineage: Bacteria; Pseudomonadati; Bacteroidota; Bacteroidia; Bacteroidales.
GGGGCUGACGUGGUUUUGACAGCAAGUAGAAUGGGUUUGUAAGCAUGCCGAGCGUCGUGAGGCCGGCUCGUUAAUCCCGGGCACAAACCAAUAAACGGCGAAACUAACUACGCUCUCGCUGCCUAAUAACUCCAGGAGUUAAGGCUUAAUCCCUACGCCAAGGAUGCGUGGGGACGAGAUGUCCCGCCGGGAAUUACGCCCUGUUGUUUCCGGCAUAUGGGGCACCGAUCAAACGGGGAUAGUCGGGGCGACACCUUUAAACCCCGAUGAAACAAACAAAGGUUAAGGAUUGGUUCGGUUGCCUUUCACCUGGCCAUUCCCGACAA